GUGCUCGCUUUGGCAGCACAUACACUGAAACCAGAAUGGUGCAGAGAAGAUUAGCAUGGCCCCUGUGCAAGGAUGACAUGCAGAUCUGUGAAGCAUUCAUAUUUUAA
Artibeus jamaicensis (Jamaican fruit-eating bat) is the source of this 107-nucleotide small nuclear RNA. The record is from RefSeq and is a predicted model, not a curated record. Lineage: Eukaryota; Metazoa; Chordata; Mammalia; Chiroptera; Phyllostomidae.